GGCUUUAUAGUAUAAAAAAUAACAUUGGAUUGCAAAUCUAAAGAUGUGUAGGAGACACUAAGGCUU
This 66-nucleotide transfer RNA is filed under the name Aparapotamon binchuanense. RNAcentral's name for it is "tRNA-Cys". Lineage: Eukaryota; Metazoa; Arthropoda; Malacostraca; Decapoda; Potamidae. The record is from RNAcentral.